UACAUGCUUUAUUUGUGUCGUGAUCAGACAAACAGCUAAUUACAGUUGGUGAUCAAUACACUGUGACAUACGGCAUAUCAGUCCCACGCAGACAAGUUAGCUUAACUCAGUAUGGGACAAAUAAUAACAUGUGCAUAAAUUAACCAAGUUGACUCCACACUGCUAGCGGUAUGGGCCAUUACCCCGCAGCAUUCUCUCGGCAACGGAGGAUGGACGUGAAUCGAUAGCCAUUCUAUUCAGGGGUGACAGAUCGUCACCUUACAUCAAAGAUAAUUAGUGCUGCAUCACGGUCCAUUGUCACAGAUGUUCUUGGCGACUACAUACAGUGGGAGCUCGGUCACCUGUUGACCUUCGAUUGAGAAGGCGUAACCAUCUAGCCCUGACCCCCGUGGGAUCAGCUACUUGUCUGUUAUUAGCUGUGUAAAAAUAGUGAACGGUCCCAAGGUCACGUUUGACAGCUCACCUGCGAAGCAUGUUAGUAAAUAGACGCGUUCUAACUCUGUGUGUUCUCUAGUAUGCUCACUGCUCAGUGUGUGCUGAGCAAAUUGUAGGAUUUUGUCGGCUGUUUGGCAUUGACACGAUGCCCUACUUCGGACUCGGCUGAUUGAGGCCUCCUUACUUCCCACAGUGACAGACAGACUGCACAGUUCCUUGUUGGAUCAGGACAGGGCUAUAAAGACACUCGCUACCUCCCUCAUCACAUUCCAGUCUCAUCUCUGUCACCGGACACACCACUCACACUGGACCCUGCUCCUGCAUUCAAGGAUUAUUAUAAAUCUGAAUAUAUAUUGAAGUUUUUUUAUUCAAAAAUUUUAAAAGCAGAUUAAAAUUUGAAAUUAUUUCAAAUUCUUCUGUUUGGAUCGCUUUCCCUACAGCCAACAAAAUGCUGAUUCAAAAUGGAUGUUAUAUGCAAAGCCCAGGGUAUUACCAUGACCCCAUGUACGUACCCCUGGGCACCCAGGCACCUCUUCAAAUGGAUGAUUAUUACGCUAGAGUGCCCUCCACAACUCCAGCACAGUACCAGUAUCAGACUUACCCGCAGAGGCCCACGACAGCCGGGUAUGACUGUGCCUGUCCCGCUGUGCCACCCCAACAAAGUCUACUGCACCAAAUUUUGACUGGGAAAGGAUAUAAAAAUGAUGUUUUGUGUAUGGGACAGAUGAUCAAGAUGGAGGCAUAUCCUGACUUCCCUAGUCAGAACUGUUGUUAUUCUAAUAUACUUCAUGACGGAUUUGCAGCUUAUCCUCACAUGCAUCGAUACUAAGGGUUCAUUUCCAAGAACAGACUUUGCUUUCAAAGUGUACUUUCCGGCCAGCAAGGAGAUUCAAGACAGCAAGAUACAGGACUAGCAGCA
This 1354-nucleotide unclassified non-coding RNA is filed under the name Haliotis rubra (blacklip abalone). RNAcentral describes it as "dNA polymerase epsilon subunit 2-like, transcript variant X1". The record is from RNAcentral. Lineage: Eukaryota; Metazoa; Mollusca; Gastropoda; Lepetellida; Haliotidae.